RNAcentral lists this long non-coding RNA (1165 nucleotides) under Homo sapiens (human). RNAcentral's name for it is "non-protein coding lnc-FAT2-1:1". The record is from RNAcentral. Lineage: Eukaryota; Metazoa; Chordata; Mammalia; Primates; Hominidae.
AAAAUAAAAAUAAAAUUCAUUUAUUGAAAAGAAAAAGCUUAACAUACGAUCCAUGUGCAAACCCCAAAACAGGAUCUACGAACUCUGGCAUGAUCCACAUCGCUACACAUACCAUGCUGGAAGUGCACAUCCACACAGGCACGUAACAUACACAGUACUGUCUAGUUAUCAACACCUACAGAUUGGUUGAUUUUUCUUCACACACCAUUGACAUGUUUUACAAUAGAGUUACCAAUUUUAUUAUCCACUGAAAGAGCAUAGCUUCCCCCAGAAUCACUUUGAUUUAAACCAAAUAACACAGUGAAUGACAGGCACCCUGCACCUAUAUCUGCUACCUUCCUUACUCUGAUAACCUCCUACCAGCACCAUUUAUGUCCUCUGGCCAGGGAACGACUCAGUGGCACAAAGGAAAGAGAAGAAAUGUUACAGGCUGAUGCUGUCGGGGCAAAUAGCCCUGCAACCAGCCGGACUUACUGUCUAAAAGUAUUAACCGUAAUUUCAAAGACAAACCACACCCCUUCCUUUUCCCCUAAUGGCCUCAGAGAUUUGUAAUGUACUUUGGAAAAUUAACUUCUAAGGCAGAGUGGAAGCCAACCUCAAGUCCUGCCACUUGGACUCUGUGUCUUCUCUUCGAGGAAGCAGCAUUGUGCACCCAGCAGGGGCAGAUGCUGAGGCUUGCCUUAACAUCUCAGCAGCUACAAAAUGAAAUCCACUGAUACAGAACCCCUUGCUGUGAGCAGUGAGGAGAGAGAGCUGUAAACAGACACAAAUUGAGAUUUUUGCACUUCCAAAAAAUACGAGGUGAACAUUAGUGCUAAACAGAGAGAAUGUUCUAGGAAGGGAGAAAUCUGAGAAGAAAAAGUAAGAUGAGAGAGAAGAAACAUGAUUUUUCUAAUGUACUUGUUUGAGAUCAACACUUUAAGACUACUGAUAAAACUAAAUUUCGUGGGGAUAGACAGUGAGCAGUGAGCAUCAGCCAGUGAAUCUGGCUGCAGAGGAGAGAUGGAAUUGGGCGGCUGAAGUGAAAUGAUGCCACACAUUCACACAUAUCUAGCCAGGGCUUGUGCAGAUGAAGGGAUCUUAGCAGCUGGACAGCAGCACAACAUAAAUAAUGCCACUUGUGAAUGGUGACAACUGCUAGGCAGGGUGAACAGAAGACGCCAGC